Molecule: ribosomal RNA, 97 nt
Filed under: Alternanthera costaricensis
Lineage: Eukaryota; Viridiplantae; Streptophyta; Magnoliopsida; Caryophyllales; Amaranthaceae
Description: partial 5.8S ribosomal RNA
Rfam family: 5.8S ribosomal RNA
About the family: 5.8S ribosomal RNA (5.8S rRNA) is a component of the large subunit of the eukaryotic ribosome. It is transcribed by RNA polymerase I as part of the 45S precursor that also contains 18S and 28S rRNA.
Source: RNAcentral
UUGGUGUGAAUUGCAGAAUCCCGUGAACCAUCGAGUUUUUGAACGCAAGUUGCGCCCGAAGCCUUUGGGCCAGGGCACGUCUGCCUGGGCGUCACAC